GGAAGUUCAAAUGUUCCUCACUUUAGGAUUAUUAUUAUUCUUUGAUUUAUUAAACGGUGUAAAAGUACCAGAACUUAAAAACGGUGUAGGAGGGGAGUGAAUCCACCCAAGUGGUCUGGUUUAUGGUUUAUGGUUUUGGUUUCUGUUUUAGUUAAUAUUCAAGACUUCAACAGGUUUAGUGUUUAUUUACUUUAGUUAAUAUUUAAGACUUCAACAGGUUUAGUGUUUAUUUACUUUAGUUAAUAUUUAAGACUUCAGCACACUACCAGGAGUCAAUUCAAUAGUUUACAGUUGAUUUGUUGUGACUUUAGUUCAGCUUAUUCAGAAUUUGUUCAGAAAUACUCUUCUUGCUUUGUUAUAUAAUAACUUUCCUGUUUUUAACACUAUUUCUGUUAAACAAGAUUCAUUUCUAUUUAAAAUGCUCUUUUGGUUAUUUCAUUAUCAUAUUUGUCUGUUAUAACUUUUUAGUUUUAGACUUAAAUUUUAACCUCUCAAAUAACAAAGCAGUCUCAAAUCCUUUUGAGGAAUUACAGCUAAAAAUCUACUUUGCAUACAGUACAUCCUCUGAUAAAUACAGUGAAGUACUUUGAUUGCAUUUCUGUGGUGUUCCUGUAGGUGACCAUGAUGCAGCCAGACUGAAGCAGCACGUUGUGAAGGUGGACGCCAUCAUCUUGUCUUUGCAGCGCUGAUUCUGAAGAGAACGCCUUCACAUAGGACUCAAAGGAAAUCAAUGCUCAAAGGAAACAGCAGUCCAGACUCUGAUUCCAGCUCCGGUGACGUUCUGCACACAAAUUGGCUGUCUGAUUCGUUUAAUGGGCUCACUGACUUGAAGAGAGAGGACACUUGGCUUCCAUGUACGAGACACACAAGAAUCACUCUAUCAGAAGAUGCCCUCAGAUUCAGAUCCAUCAACAACCCCUGACAACAUGGAGGACUCGUCCCCUGAGCGUUUCCUGUCCUCUCUCCAUGGAGUUCUUCUCUUCAGUUAUUAACUCUUGAAAACAGUAGCACAACAUGCCAGACUGUUUGACAAGUCUGUGAUUGAAUAAAUGGAAAUGGAAUCUCAUGUGUAUCUUGUUAUGCUUAUUGGCUUUAAAUGUUUAAUAUUAAAUAAGUUUGAAGGCCAUUUAUCUCAAACGAGCCCGGCUGUGACAAGCUGAGCUCGUCUGUUGUCUUUAACAGGGUACACACUACAAGAUAAUCAGGCUGAUUUUAGGCCAGAUUCCCCUCUUCCGACGAAAGUCAUCAAAGGCCCGACUAUCUGAUGAUCCAAAGAUUAUCUUGCCAGGUUCUCCUGUGGUGUGAGGUGUGUUAAGAGUGAUUUUAACCUCUGAUCUGCUCGGACGAUGAUAAGGGCCGUCCCGAUUUGAAAUUGUUAAUAUUAAACGUGUUCAAUAUUUACAAUCAGAAGUCCUGUUGUGUGGGAACAUCGAGGCCUGCCGAGCACGGACUCUGUGAAUAGUCACUUGGAACGGAGCAAUAGCCAAUAGGGAAGCAAGCUGACUGAAGCAGGAAGCACAACAAACAUUACCAUGGCGACAACAGCAAACGUGAAGCAUAAAGUUAAAUGGAUGUCA
Long non-coding RNA from Labrus mixtus (cuckoo wrasse), 1577 nucleotides. RefSeq lists it as uncharacterized. The transcript is spliced from 4 exons. NCBI's taxonomy places the organism in Eukaryota, Metazoa, Chordata, Actinopteri, Labriformes, Labridae. The record is from RefSeq and is a predicted model, not a curated record.